Molecule: non-coding RNA, 82 nt
Organism: Tricholoma furcatifolium
Lineage: Eukaryota; Fungi; Basidiomycota; Agaricomycetes; Agaricales; Tricholomataceae
Source: the annotation of a GenBank genome assembly
GUCUCUAUAGCUCAGUGGUAGAGCAUACGAUUGCAGCGUGCUUCAUAUCGUAGGGUCCGGUGUUCGAACCACCGUGGGGACU